AUUAUAACACACUAGAGGUUUAUUUGUAUUUUUAUGCCUGAUUUUUUAUGCAAUUGCAUUUUUUACUAUUUUAUUAGCUUAAAAAAGCUACACUGGUGUUUAGCAUUUUUUAAUUUAUUUUAAAACAUUUAUCGUUUAUCAUACAGAAGUCUGUUAUGAGUAUUUACUAUGUCUAGGUAUAUAUCUUAAAUAAAAUAUUCAUUAGAUUUAUGAAACACUAGUCUACUUUUCUAUAUAUAUAUAUUGGGAGAAUAUCUCCAAUCACACCACUAAAGACAGAACUGCAUUGAUUUGCGCCACCUUAUAUCGAUACUAAUCUAGAAAACUUAAUCACUCUGUGUAUCUCAAUAGACAGACGCCUAAGAGAAAGAAAAUCAGAAAAAGGCUGCACAGAGUACUCAGCUAAGAGGGUUUCAACACCCACUCCUUUACCCAGGACUACGGAGGAACCCAUGGACAUCGCGUUCGUGAAGGGACCGCUGAAACCUGAGGAGAAAGCACGACGCAAGUUACACAACCUUUGUAUGUACUGUGCCAGUACAGAUCAUACAGUUAGGGACUGCCCCACUCUCCUAAGACAAAGGAAGGUGGGAUCAUCAUCAAGCACCUACAGUGGCUGUGAUUGAUUCAGGAGAAACAGGAGACUUCAUGGAUUAUGAUUUUGUUUGUUCCCUUAACAUACCACUAAUAAAAAAAGUUAAUUCACUACCUA
This is a long non-coding RNA of Bombina bombina (fire-bellied toad), 712 nucleotides long. RefSeq lists it as uncharacterized. The transcript has 2 exons. The record is from RefSeq and is a predicted model, not a curated record. Lineage: Eukaryota; Metazoa; Chordata; Amphibia; Anura; Bombinatoridae.